GGGGCUAUAACUCAAUGGGAGAGUGUCUGCCUUGCACGCAGAAGGUUGAGGGUUCAAAUCCCUCUAGUUCCACCA
RNAcentral lists this transfer RNA (75 nucleotides) under bacterium. RNAcentral describes it as "tRNA-Ala". It matches the Rfam family "tRNA". From Rfam's summary of the family: Transfer RNA (tRNA) molecules are approximately 80 nucleotides in length. Their secondary structure includes four short double-helical elements and three loops (D, anti-codon, and T loops). Further hydrogen bonds mediate the characteristic L-shaped molecular structure. tRNAs have two regions of fundamental functional importance: the anti-codon, which is responsible for specific mRNA codon recognition, and the 3' end, to which the tRNAs corresponding amino acid is attached (by aminoacyl-tRNA synthetases). tRNAs cope with the degeneracy of the genetic code in two manners: having more than one tRNA (with a specific anti-codon) for a particular amino acid; and 'wobble' base-pairing, i.e. permitting non-standard base-pairing at the 3rd anti-codon position. RNAcentral also lists the same sequence under 1 other name. The record is from RNAcentral.